UUAACCACUAGGCUACUGCACCAGGCCCACGGUAUGAGUUUUUAAAAUCCAAACUUCACACAGUUGUAUUAUUCCCCCAGGACUCCAGGUGACAGUGGAAUAGAGAGAUUACCCAUGGCCAUACAGAUCCAAGUCUGAAGACUUAAUGGACUGCUGUUUCUGGAACGAUAUUAGAAAUUGAAUUGGAGAUCUCUGUGUGAAGGAACAGAGCCAUUAAGAGGAUCUCUAAACUUUUGUCCACUUCCGUGGUUCAAUAUACUGGGGAAAUAUGCUUGUCUUUGGAGAUCUGCACACCAGUGGCAAGUGAUACCCAAUCUUGAUUGUGGAAUUAUCCUCCUGCAGAUUUUGAAAUGAUUGCUUUGGGGAAAUGACCUUUGCGUGUGAUGGCGAUGUGCAUUUAUUCCCGAUGCUAUCCUGGAUGGUAAGGCUUCCCCUGAUUUUUGCCAAAUUUGUAUCUUCCACUGAUCUGUUUUCUGCUUUUACUACUCGUCGUAUUGUUACCAUGUCCCUUGCACAAGUGUCAUUAAAUGUGCCUUUGACUUGCUGCUACCAUGGUGAUGAACACUUGUCAUUGGCUAUUGGCACAUUACUGUAUUUAUAUGAGAUUUGAUCAUUUGUGGUUUAAUAGUCAUAAGGAUCAACCC
Molecule: long non-coding RNA, 644 nt
Organism: Ochotona curzoniae (black-lipped pika)
Lineage: Eukaryota; Metazoa; Chordata; Mammalia; Lagomorpha; Ochotonidae
Exons: 3
Source: RefSeq, a predicted model, not a curated record